UCAAGAGUACCAUGUGUACAACAAAGUUCUUCUCUUUGCAUGAAAAAUUUAGCUAUGUAAACUUACCCCUAUUACCUUAGUCCCUUAUGGGGCUUAUGGCUUUUCCUUUGUCUUAGGUGGUUGAGAGACAGAACAGUUUGACUUGAGCACUAACUUUCUCAUUCUUAGCAAGUUUCAUAUCAGAGGUUUUGUGAUAUUUUCAAAAGAAAGCUUAAAUGUUCCUCUUAUGGUUCUCUCAUGUCACUCAAAUGGUGUAUGAUUCCUCACCAAGGCAUAUGGUAAGAGUUGCCUUUUCUAUUUCAUCCUAUUUCUAAAAGGCUUAUGUGGAGUUCAAGGUAGGGAUGAAAGGAGAUAGCAUACUUACUUUGCAUGUAUUGCGAAGUCAAAGCUCGGAUCCUUGAAGAGAAGUGUCAUACUCCCAGAUCAAGAUGUGCAAGUGUGAUAUAUGGUGGACUAGGUUGCUCCUUUAUUUGAUAGACUCUCUAUGUAUUGAGACAUGGCUAGCAUUUGUUUUUUCUUCUCUUUUUUUUUUAAUAUAUGAGCUUUCAUGUGCUCAAUUUUCUUUUUCUGUGGACUUGCACAUGUCCAUCUUUUUAUUUCAUUUUGCCUAGCCUUUUGAUGUCUCAUUUACCAAAUAAUGCUUAGAGAGAUGUUCUAACAUUUAGAGUAUGGAGCAACCUAUUUAGUGGAUGCGAAAUACAUGUGGUUGCGUACUUCCAGUGUAGAAGCAGCAUAUAUAUAUGUGGUGUGUACGUGAUCUUGAUCUUAGGAGCAUGAAAAGUCUCUUAACAAGGGUCAACAAGACUUGACGACACUCAACACAAAGCAAAUAGCUUAUGUGGAAAGGUUGCAAUUAUGUAAAGUAGAUAUGGCUGUGGUAGGAAUUCAUCACCAUUGAGAAACAAUUAAGGUUUUGAUCAUUUUAAGAAUAAAUCUCUGAUAAUCAUGCAUGCUUAGAAAAAUAUUAUAGUAGCUCUUGUCUUACUAUCUCAUGUCCCACAACAACUUAGACUUAGUUCUAGCACUUGCAACCCACAAAGUUUUUAGGUUCAUGGCAGUUUAAGUGAGCUAAGUGAUCCAUACUUAGAGAAAUACUAAGUUGUAUACUAGGCACUAGAGAAAUAUUAACAAGCAACUAGUCAUAAUUUCCAUGAGGGAUAUAAACAUACAUGAAGCAUAUAUGCUAAAGGGAAAUGCUAAUAAAUAUUUAUAUUUUUUUUUAAGUAAGAAUGAUAAAAUGCAUGAAAAUAAAUAAGAUAGAAUACUUACCUUAGUGGGGGAGAGGAUCUCCCCCAAGCUAGAUCUUCGCUCACUGUGGUGGCGGGAAAUUUUGGUACCAUCCAGCCCAGCGUUGUGCGUCUUCCUCUCGCACACGUCGGAUAUGUUGGCCGUUUUGUAACGCCAGUUGCAAUGUUGCUUCUUGCCCAAUCUGCAAUUCGCCCAUGUCAUUAAUGAGACUGUCCAUACCUGUGGGCUGGUGACGCCUAGCCCUGUCCCUUGGGCGUGGAGUGCGUUGUGGAGGUUGUGGGGGUAUAAACCCCUAUACCCUCAUGGGCCUAUAUGGGCCGCACCAUCAGAGGUGGCUCGGCCCACAAGAUGAAGACGUGCGGCGCACGACUGGUCGGCGUGCACCGCAAGGCUACAAGAUUUUGUAACAAAUAGGAUACUUUGCUUGUAACUCUGUCCCUUCAGGAUAUAUAAGGAGGGGCAGGGGUCCCCUAGAGGACACAUCAGAUCAUAUUCUCUCAGCACAAAUCAAUACAACCAGACGCAGGACGUAGGUAUUACGCCAACUCGGCGGCCGAACCUGGAUAAAAAGCUUGUCCGUGUCUUGCGUCACCAUCGAGUUCGUAGUUUGCGCACCGUCUACCGAUAAACUACUGCCGUGGGUAUACCCCAAGGUAGACUGCCGACUAGCUUUCGUCGACAGUGGCGCGCCAGGUAGGGGGUGUGCGUACAGCCCUCGCGACGAACAAGAUGGCCAUCAUCCCCGACUUCGCAGCCAUGGCGGGCGGCUUCACGUUCACCGUCAGCUUCAACAGCUUCACCGCCACGACCACGGAGGAGGUGUAGAUCCGAUCUGCGCCAACCACUUCUUCAUCGACGUCGGCGGCGGCUUCAACCACGCUGGCUACGGUUUCGACCACACCAGCAGCGUCUCCGACCACGCCGACAAUGCGUCACCUGCUUCCCUACUACAAAGAGAGGCAGAUCGACGACAUCGAUCUGCUCGGGCUAACGACCAAGUUGUUUGGCCUACUUGCUCUGACCACCAGUCGCAAUAAUAAUCGCCGCGAAGAACGGCGCUACGACAACCGCGACCACCGUCACGAUAACAAGUCCAAAAGCUCGAGGGCCAGACAAUUUUGUCGUCACCGACCAGACUUUCAUCCAAAGAUAAGUACACUUCUAAUAUCUUAUUUAUUUUUGGCAUAAUAUUUUUUAUUAUCCUUCAAAAACAACUUUUUGUUUAGCCACACUAGUUUUUUCUCCUACACGAGCUUUCCAGAGCCGGUACUGUCUCCGACUCCUCCCUACACGUGCAUGAGAUCCGCCCUCUGCGUUCCGGGUGGUCGGCAGUAGCUCUCUGGCGAGGCUGGCAAUCCCACGCGUGUCUAGGUUCCGCACCUCAUGCUGAUUGUUGGCUAGACCAGAGCUGGUACAAGCUCUAGGAUGAAUUAACUACUUGUGCUAAUUUUAUAACAAAAAAUCUAAAACUUAUCUCAGUACUGAUUUUUAUCUAAAGUUUAUUUAUACAUCAUGUACUACCUAUUCUUUAUAUUUAUUUUUCAGGGGUUUGGCCCAGUCGACAAGCUACGCUCGGGGACUCGUCGACUAUUCCCUACGCUGUGCUCGGGGACUGCUCCGACCACCGAGCACGUUUACGUUCCCAACCACGCUCGGGGACUUGUCGACUACUCUCUAUGCUGUGCUCGAAGACUGUGCCGACCACCGAGCACGUUUACGUUCCCAACCACGCUCGGGGACUUGUCCACCGGUCCCUACGCCGUGCUCGGGGACUUUGCUGACCACCGAGCACUAUACGCUCGGGGACUGGUCGACCAGCUCACCAAUUUAUAAACUUGGGGACUGCACCGACCACCGAGCACUAUACGCUCGGGGACUGGUCGACCAGCCCACCAAUUUGAGAAUUCGGGGACUGUACCGACCACCGAGCGUUAUAUGCUCAGAGACUGGUCGAUUAGUCUAUUCAAUUACAGACGAGCAUGAUAUGCUCAGGGACUGGUAAAUUCAAUUUUUUAGACCUUGCUACAAGGCUCAUACUUCGCCUUCCAGCAAGCUCGGGGACUACAUCGGUACGAUGCAUCUAGCGAUGCAUCUCAGUCUCAAAACUACUUUGGGGAAUUUUCUUUUGACCCUGGCACCACGUGCCUACGUCACCUACUACCAGGCUCGGGGACUAAGUGGGCACACUUCACCUUGCGGUGAAUAUGCUUGCUAUUUUGAGGUCUAUACUUUUCAGAAAAGUAAAGUGGGCACACUUCAACAGGAAAGAAAUCUUUUUUAAUUAAGAGCACCAUGCAUUCUUCGAACAACCUGCUUCUUCGAUGUCAAUGUUGAUCAACUGUCUUUUGAGUUGGUCAAAAUACCGUUGCAACUGUUCGGGCGACUUUCCUGCUUAUUGAAGACGUCAAGCCUCACUGAUCGAAGAAGCUCAAGACGGCGUGUUACAUCAUAAUACAUGGUGCUCGGGGACUAGCUGUGGGGGUAUAAACCCCUAUACCCUCAUGGGCCUAUAUGGGCCGCACCAUCAGAGGUGGCUCGGCCCACAAGAUGAAGACGUGCGGCGCACGACUGGUCGGCGUGCACCGCAAGGCUACAAGAUUUUGUACCAAAUAGGAUACUUUGCUUGUAACUCUGUCCCUUCAGGAUAUAUAAGGAGGGGCAGGGGUCCCCUAGAGGACACAUCAGAUCAUAUUCUCUCAGCACAAAUCAAUACAACCAGACGCAGGACGUAGGUAUUACGCCAACUCGGCGGCCGAACCUGGAUAAAAAGCUUGUCCGUGUCUUGCGUCACCAUCGAGUUCGUAGUUUGCGCACCGUCUACCGAUAAACUACUGCCGUGGGUAUACCCCAAGGUAGACUGCCGACUAGCUUUCGUCGACAGAGGUAGACCCAUGGAGUCUAAAGCAUCCACUGACAUCGCUUCAUCGCCCUCUUCAACGUCAUGGUGCGAGGAUCCUCCUUGCUCCAUCUGGGCGGCUUGCAUCAUCCUUCUUGUCACCCUGCGUG
RNAcentral lists this long non-coding RNA (4254 nucleotides) under Sorghum bicolor (sorghum). RNAcentral's name for it is "long non-coding RNA (SBIC_LNC014553)". The record is from RNAcentral. Lineage: Eukaryota; Viridiplantae; Streptophyta; Magnoliopsida; Poales; Poaceae.